GCGUGCUUAACACAUGCAAGUCGAGCGGUAAGGCCUUUCGGGGUACACGAGCGGCGAACGGGUGAGUAACACGUGGGUGAUCUGCCCUGCACUCUGGGAUAAGCCUGGGAAACUGGGUCUAAUACCGGAUAUGACCUGCUCUCGCAUGGGGGUGGGUGGAAAGAUUUAUCGGUGCAGGAUGGGCCCGCGGCCUAUCAGCUUGUUGGUGGGGUAAUGGCCUACCAAGGCGACGACGGGUAGCCGACCUGAGAGGGUGACCGGCCACACUGGGACUGAGACACGGCCCAGACUCCUACGGGAGGCAGCAGUGGGGAAUAUUGCACAAUGGGCGAAAGCCUGAUGCAGCGACGCCGCGUGAGGGAUGAAGGCCUUCGGGUUGUAAACCUCUUUCAGCAGGGACGAAGCGCAAGUGACGGUACCUGCAGAAGAAGCACCGGCUAACUACGUGCCAGCAGCCGCGGUAAUACGUAGGGUGCGAGCGUUGUCCGGAAUUACUGGGCGUAAAGAGUUCGUAGGCGGUUUGUCGCGUCGUUUGUGAAAACCCGGGGCUCAACUUCGGGCUUGCAGGCGAUACGGGCAGACUUGAGUGUUUCAGGGGAGACUGGAAUUCCUGGUGUAGCGGUGAAAUGCGCAGAUAUCAGGAGGAACACCGGUGGCGAAGGCGGGUCUCUGGGAAACAACUGACGCUGAGGAACGAAAGCGUGGGUAGCAAACAGGAUUAGAUACCCUGGUAGUCCACGCCGUAAACGGUGGGCGCUAGGUGUGGGUUCCUUCCACGGAAUCUGUGCCGUAGCUAACGCAUUAAGCGCCCCG
This 813-nucleotide ribosomal RNA is filed under the name uncultured Rhodococcus sp. Its description in RNAcentral is "bacterial SSU rRNA". It matches the Rfam family "Bacterial small subunit ribosomal RNA", at positions 42 to 871 of the family's 1533-position model. Lineage: Bacteria; Bacillati; Actinomycetota; Actinomycetes; Mycobacteriales; Nocardiaceae. The record is from RNAcentral.